AUACGGAGGGUGCAAGCGUUAUUCGGAAUCACUGGGCGUAAAGGACGCGUAGGCGGGUUGGCAAGUCAGAUGUGAAAUCCUACAGCUUAACUGUAGAACUGCAUUUGAAACUGCUAACCUAGAGUAUGGGAGGGGGAGAUGGAAUUAGUGGUGUAGGGGUAAAAUCCGUAGAUAUCACUAGGAAUACCGAAAGCGAAGGCGAUCUCCUGGAACAUAACUGACGCUAAGGCGUGAAAGCGUGGGGAGCAAACAGGAGUAGAUACCCCAGUAGUCC
This 274-nucleotide ribosomal RNA is filed under the name uncultured bacterium. RNAcentral's name for it is "partial 16S ribosomal RNA". It matches the Rfam family "Bacterial small subunit ribosomal RNA", at positions 523 to 796 of the family's 1533-position model. The record is from RNAcentral.